CUGUCUCUGAUGGCAGUAAUGAUUAACAUCUACUGAGGGAUGCUAAAAAUUUUAAAUCCACUGAUGGAUUCCAGGAAGGCACACCUACUGAUGGGUGUUGGAAGGAAGUGCACUUACUGACAAGUGCCAAAUAGGUUUGGGUCAGGCUCGCGACGUUAAACAAGCGCUACUAGGAGGCAACCUAGAUUUCUUCUUACACUUUUGCAUUUUUAAAUUCCUAGAAUAGGUUGAAUUUUAAUUUUGGUGUGUACUCUUGGCUUUAAUACUUUUUCUGAAAAUGUUUGACUGACUGAUGUGCAUGAUGGAGCCAUUUGAUGAUUAUUUGAUGUGGAUAAGAAUUGAGUUGCAAUGCAUGUUGAUAUUCUAUGAAAUAGAAGUGUGAUGAAUUAUGAUCGUGGUUUUGAU
RNAcentral lists this long non-coding RNA (405 nucleotides) under Vigna radiata. Its description in RNAcentral is "long non-coding RNA (VRAD_LNC018293)". The record is from RNAcentral. Lineage: Eukaryota; Viridiplantae; Streptophyta; Magnoliopsida; Fabales; Fabaceae.